Long non-coding RNA from Cyprinus carpio carpio, 681 nucleotides. The record is from Ensembl. NCBI's taxonomy places the organism in Eukaryota, Metazoa, Chordata, Actinopteri, Cypriniformes, Cyprinidae.
CUCUGCUUUUGUCUCCUCCUGUUAAACCAAUAAUACAACCACCUCAUCAGUCUCUGUCAGGUGAAGUUCAUCUAUCAAGCUGUGAAGCAAUAGCUCAUCAAAUUUGCAGACGCCUUCUAAACAUCUAAAGUUAAAUCAGAUUCUCGUCUAGCGGCAACAACCACACAUGGGUUUGGAUUUGGUUCUGAUGUGUUUACUUUCUCCAGCCGUUUGAAAAGAGCACAUUUGGUCCUCUGGCAGUGAUUAAUAGCACCCAUUCACUUUCGUUCUGUAGUAAAGAGCAGCUUGGACUUCAUGCAAAAUAUAUGAUGGAUGCAAUCGAACACCACAAGGACAAACAGAGUCAGAGAGAGAAUUCGACAGAACCUUGACUCCGGACCCCUGGGAUGCCCUCCUGCUGAAGAUGUGAGACUGUGAGGUUAUUUUAAGCAGCACAUUGGACCUCAUUCUGAAUGCAAAGAGAGCCUAGGGGUAAAGAGACGAGAAACACAUUGUGAAAAGCGCUAUACACAGAAGAAUAACAGAAAAUCAUUCCCAGUCUUCACACAAAAUGAAACAGCGGCACAGUCUACAUUAGGACACGUCUCAUUAAAGAAAAUCAUUCUUAUUUUAAAGACGACUUCAAAGGGAGCUGACAUCAGAUACGGAUUGUUUGAGAUGCCUGCUGUGACAUAUAUCGAG